RNAcentral lists this small nuclear RNA (21 nucleotides) under Arabidopsis thaliana (thale cress). RNAcentral describes it as "snRNA_16715". Lineage: Eukaryota; Viridiplantae; Streptophyta; Magnoliopsida; Brassicales; Brassicaceae. The record is from RNAcentral.
AGCGGCUGGAAGAGCACCGCA